GUGGUGUGGGCCUAUGACCACAGCCCUUGGGAAGGAGAGGUGGGGGACUUUGAGUUGAGGACUUCCUGGGUGACCUAACAAGUCGUAGGCUAGUCUGGACUUCAUAGUGGGACCAUGUCUCAAAAAUGGUGUUCUUGAAUAGUAUAUUUUAUUUUAUUAUUUUGUUUUGCCUACAACCAAGCCUGUGCACCAUGUGAAUGCAGUGCCCGUAGAGACCAGAAGAGGGCAUUGAAACCCCUGGGACUGGCAUCACCUACUGUUGUGAGCUGCCAUGGGGGUGCUGGAAGUCAGUCCCUGGUCCCCUUAACUGCUGAGCCAUCUCUCCACCCCUUUCUUUAAUAAUAUAUUUUGUUAAAAAUUACUUGAUAAUUUAGUGCUUAAUAACAAUUGUGAUGAUCGACCCCUUUUUAAAAACCAUUUUUUAAUUGUAUAUUGAUUAGACAAAUUUCCUCUGACUUGAUAAUGUGGGCAUGUUUAUGAUUUCAAUUUGAUUCUCGUUUCUGUUCUCUAUGCCUCCCUCUCAUUCUAGGCUAGUUCUCAUCCUGGGCUAGUUUUCCGUGUAUCCCUUUUUUCUUCAUUAGACGGGGAUUUAUGGAGCACUGCGCAGGGUGUUGCACUUGCAGGGCUCCAGAAACAGACAGAUCUCAUGCUUCAUAGCUGAGCGGCAGGGAGCUGGCGUGGCCUACUUUCCAGCACAGGAAUGAGACUGAGGAAAAGCCUUUGGAGUUCGCACUGGCCAGCUUCCGUGCCUGUUUCCGUGCCGAGCCUGGUUUGUUACACACGUUCACAUCAGUGUCCCUGUCAGCUGUUUCCACCUGACAGCCUUAUGGGGUGAGUUCAGGAGUCUGUGCUCUAAUCUGAUUGCGUCCUUUGUGAGGGAUGUAGCUGCUGAAGAUGAGGAGGAAUAUUCUUGUCAGGGAUGCCUAGACGACCAUUAACACAGUUCACGAUGUAUUGUGUAAUUAUUAAAAUGUAUGUUCCACAUAUAGAUUUUCUGGUUAUUGAGGGUGUAUUCCGUUUACCCCCUUUUAAAAAUUGUCAUUUUUUGACAACAGAAGGAGGAACUCCAGAUUUCUUAUAACAAUUUAAUGUGUGCACUUGAGUGUGUGUCUGCAUGUGCAGCAGAGGCCUUGGGUCCGGCCCUCUGCGCUGGAGCUCACAGUGAAGGCUGGGAUCUGAGCUUUGUCCUCAUGAUGGUGCAGCCAGCACUCAUUUCAACUGUGAGCCUAACACUGAGCCGUCUCCCCGCCUGAGUCAUGUUCAGUUACAGAGCAGCACUGUGGUUAAUUAGUUUAAAGGACAUAUUUUAACAUUUCCUAAAACAAAAUUCUGGGUUUUUUCCAAGGCUAUUCAUUUUAUCUUUCAAAAUAUAUUUUCAAAGUGUCUAUUAUUAGGUAUUAAUAUUAGUAGGUAUUUUUCUUUUAAAUGAUAAAUAUAUAUUUACUAUGUAAAGAGACAUGUCUGCUUUUCAAAUAUCUUAUUUAUUUGAAAUGGUGUUGGGGACAUGUGUGCCACUGUCUCCAUGUCGAGGUCAGAGGACGAUUUCAUGGAGUUGUUUUUUGUCUUUCACCUUUCCAUGGGUUUCGAGGAUCACGCUCAGUCUCCACAUGUGUGCAGCAGCAAGUGCUUUGCCCACUGGUUCUCAGUGCUGAGUCUGACUUACAGUGUGACAGCUCAUGUCGGGUGUGCUGCAUCGGGGCUGCCCAGCUGCUGGUGCAGCUGUGUUCCCACUGAGCUCAAUGCCUUGAAGUAGGAAAUGAAAGCUAAAGAUCUCUCGACAAAUAAAAAGAAGUCCAGAAACGCAUGAAAUAUUUUCUAAUUUGUAAGGCCCACAUUAUCUCUGCUUUGUGUGCAGCUGUGCACCUGUUUCAUCUGAUUCCGGAGGAGCAGGUACACUAACAGGAAUCGGUGGCACAGGACACUGUUUGGAGCGAUACUGAUUACUUUGAAAUUUUUGGCCGUACUGUUCACUGCCAUGGGCUGCCGAGAUGUGCAUGCGGCCACAGUGCUCUCCUUCCUGUGUGGCAUUGCCUCUGUGGCAGGCCUCUUCGCGGGGACUCUGCUUCCCAACUGGAGGAAACUGCGGCUCAUCACCUUCAACAGAAACGAGAAGAACCUGACGGUUUACACCGGCCUGUGGGUGAAGUGUGUCCGGUACGAUGGAAGCAGUGACUGCCUGAUGUACGACCGCACCUGGUACCUGUCUGUGGACCAGCUGGACCUGCGUGUCCUCCAGUUUGCCCUGCCUCUCAGCAUCCUGAUCGCAAUGGGUGCCUUGCUACUCUGUCUGAUUGGAAUGUGUAACACGGCCUUCAAGUCCUCGGUGCCUAACAUCAAACUGGCCAAGUGUCUGGUCAAUAGUGCGGGCUGCCACCUGGUGUCUGGACUCCUGUUUUUCCUGGCCGGCACUGUCAGCCUCUCCCCAUCCAUCUGGGCCAUCUUCUAUAACACUCAUCUCAACAGGAAGUUUGAGCCAGUCUUUGCCUUUGACUAUGCGGUGUUUGUCACUAUCGCUAGCUCAGGGGGUCUGUUUAUGACCGCUCUUCUUCUGUUCAUUUGGUACUGCGCAUGCAAAUCUCUGUCCUCGCCUUUCUGGCAGCCGCUGUACUCUCAUCCUGCCAGUAUGCACACUUACUCACAGCCCUACUCAUCGCGCUCCCGCCUCUCCGCCAUAGAAAUCGACAUUCCGGUAGUUUCCCAUAGCACUUAACAGAGAUAGAGUUAGCCGUCAGAAGUCCGUGUCGUACGGUAGCCUCACGGUCCCUUGCGUAAAGAGCCUUUUUGGACCUGUAUAUUUUUUCCUUUGUUCUUGACUAGUCAGUGGAGCCAAAUUUAUAUAUCUUGGUAGAGUGAAAUGCUGCUAGAUUUUAUGAGGUAUAUAUUACGUUCUUCUAAAUGUGAAGCAUUCCUUCUAUCUUGCGUCUAAUCCUAGAAGGGUAUUUAGCCUCCCUGUUGAUGUCUGGUGGCAGCUGAGGCGAUGAAACAGCACAGAGAGGACAGGGCUGUUGUGCUCAAUCCUGGCGGUAUUUCAGAUCCUGUUUGUCUCUGGCGGCCUAAACAGAAAAGAGCAGUUAAGUACAAGGAAUUUCAGUCAGGAGAGGAUUGCAGUUCGUCUCCGGGACUCUGCCAGCUCGAGGGUAUAAUUUUGUUCUCUCCUGGGACUAAUUGAACAGGCACCAGUACACUGAAGAUUACUAUCUUCUACCUCAUGUCAGUGCAAAGUGAUAGCAUUUUAAAUGAUGUUAGAGUAAGGCUAACAUUUAAAUAUGGCUAACAUUUAACUUCUUUUUUCGUUUUCAGACAGACUCUUGCUGUGUACUCCUGGCUGGCCUAGAACUCCCUCUCUAGACCAGGCUGCCCUCAAACUUUUCACUGUUCUCCCGUCUGCCUCCUGAGCAAUGACUGCAGGCAUGCCCAACCACACCUAGUGCUCCAGAAUUUUUAGUUAGAGGUUUCAUUGUUGGAGUUGAAAUGUGCCAAGUGACAGGAAAGAUAAAAUCCUUUCCAGAUACCCAUCAGUCAGGUAGUCCUCAUGCCCUGUACAAGCUUAGUGGCUAAGACAAGUGAACAAAAGAUUGUUGAAGCCAAAUGGUUGCCUUUUAGACCUCCAUGGCAGGGCACGGGAGCCUGUUCUUAGUGACAGUGUAAGAGAGUCACGUGGUGGCUGCUGUGGGUAAUGAGUGAUGUGUGUGGUGACAGCUGGCCUGCUCAGCUCCCGCCCCUCCCUCACAGCUGACCUUUAGCCUGUAGUCCGCCUCACGCUGAGUAGUGCUCCAGGGGACACACAAAGGAGGAUGUAGCUACAUCUGUGUAGAAAUUCUGACCUAAUACAGAACAAACUGAUAACAGACAACCAGCCAAAAGGCUGCUUUUCCUGGCAGCUGGUGACUUCUCAAGCAUUGGUCCAGGAAAAUAUUUCAGCUGAGCCGUGUCUUCCUGGCACAGACAGCCUAUGGCACACCAGCAGCAAUGUCCUGGACACAGAGAUUGACCUAAGUUACAUCUCCCCUCGUAGCUUCCGAGCUGUGCUAACAGUUUCAGAUAAGGAGAACGGGAAGGCGGUGGAGAGAUUAAACUGUACCCUUUCUACCUCGGAGAUUAAGAUGAUGCAUUAGAGAGAGACAGGUUUUAAAAAUGUCUCCUGAUGUGAUAUCAAGCGAAAGAAAGCAUGUUGAUACUAAAGUAACACUUUGACAUUAAGAGUUGUUGGGUCUUAACUCUUAGUGGUUUGAGCUGCUCAAUUGAUAUAAUUUCAGUGUACUAGCACUAUGUUUGCAAGGAUUGUGGUAUAUUAUAGUUACAGAUUUUUAUAAGCGGCUGAUUUUGUGAUAAACAGUUCAUGAUGCCUCUUUUGCAAAUCUGAGUAUUUCUAUAGAGAUGUGUAGUAGUUUUCCCUAAGUCCAACACUACUUCAUGUAGGCAAUUAAAGCCAAUUGUAUAAUUUUUAAAUGCUGUCAUUACAAAGCAUGUACAUCUAUGGUUUUUUAAAUUAUCACUUUGAAUCUUUAUCACCUCUGGUUCUUCUUAUUCAUAGAUAUAGCUAAGUGUUGAUCAUUCCAAGACAAUGGCAGCUGGAUUUUGAGAUUAGUAUUAGUUUUUCUCCUUUGUUAGUUAGUCUUAGUUUUUCUCUCACUAAACUGUUGUUCAAAAGGGCCAAGAAUUCCACCAUCCCUUGGUUGUAGUAUAAAGAGUUAAAAGUAGGGCCAGGCAUGGUGGCUUUUGACAUUAAUUCCAGUACUCAGGAGGCAGAGACAGGUGCAUCUCCCUGGACAUCCUGGUCUCCAUACCAAGUUCCAAGCCGGUCUGAGGUAUACAGUGAGACACUGUCUCAAAAAAAAUUUAAAAAGAGAAAAAGAAAACAAACGGACUCACUCAGCAGUGAGAAUAGGAGAGUUUGCGGCUCCCAGGGUUGUACUGCAAAUGCUAAGCUUUCUUAGGAGAGUCUAUGGCAUCAUUAUCUAUAGCCUCCGGUUAGUAUUUAUUACGAAUUCACUCAGGAAGAGAAACAGCUAUUUCUGUAUUGUCGUUUUGGUAUUGCAGGUUUGACAUAAAUAGCUAUUUUGUGAAGCCAUCAAAGGAAAGCAUGCACUCACAGUCCUUGGGAGCCUCCUGAGCACUCCUGGGCCAUGUGAGAUGGGGUGGAUAACUUCUUCUGUUGUUUAAAAGCUGUUCAUUUUAAAGGCAUUCUGAGGGGCCAGCUUGGUCCACAACCUCAAAUGUGAGAUGGAAUACCAGGCUUGUGUUGUCCAGCUUCAGAAAAGAAUCAGUUCACUCUGCUUGUGUAUGUGCCCUAUGAUGGAUAGUGUGCGCUGUGAACCACAAGCUUUAAGGUAAAACAGUUUGAGAAAUGCUUUUCAAGUAUAUGCCAGUGCAAUGAAGGCACUCCUAAAGGACUGGACUAGGAUCUAGAAGCCGGGAGUCGCUGCGACGCAAGGAGCCGUUGACGAGCUCGUCCUCCAGCCUCUGGGCCGUUCGCCAGUCUGCAGAAAUGCUGGAGAAAGAUGACAGCCGAGUCCUCUUCAGCAGUGAACUUCUGUGUUUAGGAUGAUCAGGAAUCCCAAGUAUUUAGAGAAUGUCCUGCCUGUUAUCACUUACAUGCCUGGAGCCUUAAGAAGCCAAAAGAAGACAUCAGAUCUCCUGAAACAGGAGUUACUCACAAGUGGAGCUGCCACAUGAAUGUUGGGGAUCCAACAAGGGUCCUCUGGAAAAAAAUCAGUAUUCUUAACUGCCGAACCACCAGCCCAGCCCCUGCCAUAUGCUUUUUCUUGCCUGUAUUUCUAGAAAAUAAAGCUGUGGAGUGGAAUGGCCAAAAGGCUGCCCCGAGAGCUGGCAGCCCUCCUCUGGGAUGCCUCUGCAGUCUAUUUUAGAAACAAAGGCACCCAGACUGCCAAAGAAAUUAACAGUGAAUGGCACAAGCAUGAAUAAUGCCAAUGCCAAAUAGAAGCGCGACUACCCACGUCCCCAGCUCUACUGGCGCUCUUUGGGGGCUUUGUGACAUGAGGGCAGGACCAGCUUCCUGAGCAUUGUGGAAUCACAGUUGAAGGACUUUUCAGUUGUUUCUACUUUCUAGCUGUUGUGAAUAUAGCAGCAACAAAUAGUACCAAGCAGGUAUCUCUGAAGAACACUUGAAUGUUCACCACCUUAGCCAUCAGGGAAAUGCAAACCAAAACUACUUUGAGAUUUCAUCCUACGCCUAUCAGAAUGCCUAGGAUCAAUUUUAAAAAAGUGACAGCUCAUACUGGCGAGGAUGUAGAGUGACAGGAACAUUCAUCCAUUGCUGGUACGACUUCAGACUUGUACAACCACUAUAGAAGUCAAUAUGGCAGUUCAUCUGAAGAUGGAAGUCAGUCUACCUUAAGAUCCAGCUAUACCACUCUUGUACAUAUACACAAAAGAUGCUUCCUCCUACCUCAGAGACACUUGCUCAACCAUGUUCAUUGCUGCUCUAUUCAAAAUGGCCAGAUAUUGGAAACAACCUAGAUGUCCCUAAACGGAUGAAUAAAGACAAUGUAACUUU
Molecule: non-coding RNA, 6517 nt
Organism: Myodes glareolus (Bank vole)
Lineage: Eukaryota; Metazoa; Chordata; Mammalia; Rodentia; Cricetidae
Source: RefSeq, a predicted model, not a curated record